RNAcentral lists this small nucleolar RNA (109 nucleotides) under Sorghum bicolor (sorghum). RNAcentral describes it as "Plant small nucleolar RNA R71". It matches the Rfam family "Plant small nucleolar RNA R71". Rfam says of the family: R71 is a member of the C/D box family of snoRNAs containing the C (UGAUGA) and D (CUGA) box motifs. Multiple nearly identical copies of this snoRNA have been identified in Arabidopsis, and it is thought to function as a 2'-O-ribose methylation guide for 18S ribosomal RNA. Lineage: Eukaryota; Viridiplantae; Streptophyta; Magnoliopsida; Poales; Poaceae. The record is from Rfam by way of RNAcentral.
AUCUCAUGAUGAGGACAUUCUAGGAUGUAAUCUUGAAAGCGCCCCUAGGCUUAUGGGACUGACUCAUUAUUUUGUUGCUAAAAACUUGAAAUUUUCCCACGCAGAGCAU